UAAGAUUUAGUGGCGGACGGGUGAGUAACACGUUGGUACCUACCCUCUAGUGGGGGAAUAACUUCGAGAAAUCGAGGCUAAUACCGCAUAAUAUCUACGGGAUUAAAGCUUUAUGCGCUAGAGGAGGGGCCUGCGUCUGAUUAGCUUGUUGGUGAGGUAAAAGCUCACCAAGGCGACGAUCAGUAGCUGGAUCGAGAGGUUGACCAGCCACACUGGGACUGAGAUACGGCCCAGACUCCUACGGGAGGCAGCAGUAAGGAAUCUUCCACAAUGGGCGAAAGCCUGAUGGAGCAAUGCCGCGUGCAGGAUGACGGCCUUCGGGUUGUAAACUGCUUUUAUAUGGGAAGAUUAUGACGGUACCAUAUGAAUAAGGACCGGCUAACUACGUG
This 389-nucleotide ribosomal RNA is filed under the name uncultured bacterium. Its description in RNAcentral is "bacterial SSU rRNA". It matches the Rfam family "Bacterial small subunit ribosomal RNA", at positions 86 to 507 of the family's 1533-position model. The record is from RNAcentral.